This 463-nucleotide ribosomal RNA is filed under the name uncultured bacterium. Its description in RNAcentral is "bacterial SSU rRNA". It matches the Rfam family "Bacterial small subunit ribosomal RNA", at positions 40 to 518 of the family's 1533-position model. The record is from RNAcentral.
CGGCGUGCCUAACACAUGCAAGCCGAGCGAGGAGAUUCCCUUCGGGGAUGAACCUAGCGGCGGACGGGUGAGUAACACGUGGGCAACCUGCCUUAUAGAGGGGAAUAGCCUUCCGAAAGGAAGAUUAAUACCGCAUAACAUUACAUUUUCGCAUGAAGAAGUAAUUAAAGGAGUAAUCCGCUAUAAGAUGGGCCCGCGGCGCAUUAGCUAGUUGGUGAGGUAACGGCUCACCAAGGCGACGAUGCGUAGCCGACCUGAGAGGGUGAUCGGCCACAUUGGGACUGAGACACGGCCCAGACUCCUACGGGAGGCAGCAGUGGGGAAUAUUGCACAAUGGGGAAACCCUGAUGCCAGCAACGCCGCGUGAGUGAUGAAGGUCUUCGGAUCGUAAAGCUCUGUCUUCAGGGACGAUAAUGACGGUACCUGAGGAGGAAGCCACGGCUAACUACGUGCCAGCCGCGGC